This 253-nucleotide ribosomal RNA is filed under the name uncultured bacterium. RNAcentral's name for it is "partial 16S ribosomal RNA". It matches the Rfam family "Bacterial small subunit ribosomal RNA", at positions 524 to 776 of the family's 1533-position model. The record is from RNAcentral.
UACAGAGGGUGCGAGCGUUGUUCGGAAUUAUUGGGCGUAAAGGGCGCGUAGGCGGUGCGGUAAGUCACCUGUGAAAUCUCCUGGCUCAACUGGGAGCUUGCAGGCGAAACUGCCGUGCUGGAGUGUGGGAGAGGUGCGUGGAAUUCCUGGUGUAGCGGUGAAAUGCGCAGAUAUCAGGAGGAGCACCAACGGCGAAGGCAGCACUCUGGGCCGGUACUGACGCUGAGGAGCGAAAGCGUGGGGAGCAAACAGG